UGAUAUCCUGUACUCUUACUAGGGAGGUUUAUUAGCUUCUGUACCUGCAGCAUGGAAUGCAGGUCCCCCAAGAGGGACGUCAGUACGAAAUAAUGUACUGAAUAUGUAAGGCAACAUGUACUAUAUAUGAGAUAAAAACUCAAAUGAAACCAUGUACUGCUGUAGGGUAAAAGACCACCUUUAUGAAUAUUGUGGAGUCAUGUAUCUUAUAACAAUUAUGUUACUUUACUCUUAUUACUUGAAUAAUCUGUGCACAGCAUGUAAUACAAAUGACCAGCUGAUCAGUGGUAAUUCUAUAUCAGGAUCGACCCAUGCUAGGCUUUCCUUUCACCCCUGGGAUACCCCCUGUAAUACUGGGAUUGACCCAUGCUAGGUGAUUCUUUCACCCCUGGGAUACCACCCAACAGAAGCAACUGUAUACAUAUAUCUUCUUAUUACUUUUGAGAUGAAUCUUUGGUGGUCGUAACAUUUGAGCUAUAAGACUAUAAGCAUGACAAAUGACAAGUAUGUGUCCAUGUAACAUCAUAUCAUAAUGAAAAGAGUGGGUUGUACAAUUAGUGAAACAUGUAGGACAUAAACAACGUAUGAACUUUAUUUAGCUAAAAAGAAGACUCAUAUGUCAUGGUACCCAAUGUAUGUAUGCAGCAGUGACAAUGCUCGAAUCUGGACACACAAGUACAUGUUAAAGAGUGGAGUGGUUAUGUCAAAGUUUGUAAAGAUCUCUAUGUGCCAAUGAAGACUUUGGAUUCCAUGCCAAAUAAUAAGAGAUCGAAUAGCCUUACAUACCUCGACAUAUCAACUUGUUUUUACGUCGAAAUGACUUCUUUUCUUCCAACUAUUUAUCUACAAUAUCAUGUUUUAAAGCUAGUAUUAGCAGCUAAUCAAUGCAUCUGGACAGCCCAAUCUCACAAGACACAACACUUUGGCAACAAACGUAUAACCAUCAACUCAAUGGUGUUAUUCCGACUUUCUCAAUUCUAACUGUAUUCAACCAGCAUAGAUUAUCAUAUACAUGAUGUAUACAGCCUAUAUUAGUUCUAUAACAUGCUGGCAACAGUCCAUAACUACAACACAUAACCAUUUUACAAAACGCUCAACUAAGAAGCACAACAUCUCGUCGUCUCCCUACAUUUCGUCGUUAACAAUUCAUACUUGUCCCAACUUUGAACCAGAUGCUCCCAACAUAUAUAUACAUCAAAUAAACCUUAACAUAGUCACAAAAUAGCUCAAAACGUAGGGGAAACGUGAAACAACAUCCCCCUCAACAAAACAGUCCAAUACCAGUUUGGAAGCACAUAAGAUCAUAUAAGGAUACUUGUUUCCAAAGAACUAGCAAAACAGUCCAGCAACCUUGGCAACCAUAUACACACUAUAACAUGUUAAUAACCUCAACUUUACAUCAUAUUAAAGUGAAAAAUCAGGGUAAAAAUCGUUCCAAAGCCAAGAAAACCAAACAACAACUUUCAGGACACAAGCUGUCCAGAAAUUCCUGCACAGUGAACCAGCCAACUUAUCUUGUUUUCCAUGGAAAAUUCAUAUCAAGUAUAUGGUUAUUUUUACAUACCUUAACUCCCAAGGUGUAGGUCUAAUUCAAGAACUCAAAAAGUAGCCUUUGGUUGCCUUCCAAGGUGAAGAAAUACCAAGAGAAACUUAGAGAGAAAUUCUGAAAUUUUUUGGUCUUUUCUUUGGUUAACCUAGAGCUCGGUUUUGGUCCCUUUUUAAGGAGACUUUAGACCGACUUUCUCCUAAUAUUUGUAGCUGAUUAACUCAAGUUGGUCAAUGACUAAUUUUCCCCUUUCACUUGGGCCUUUUGGAUCUCUAAAUCAAUGGGCUUUAGUGGCCCAUUUCCUUACUCUUUCUUGCACUUUGUUUGGGCUCAAUUUUGUUAGUAGUGAAUGAAUGUGGUUGGGCCUAUUAUAUAAAAAUCUUGGGCUGAACAUCUUGGCCCAAUAUAAUGUUAAACCAUUGUCUUUAAUAGCCUCCCUAACUUGGGCUUCGUUUGUCACAAGACUUGGAAAGUUUCGGCGUUAAGCCUUGUCUUCGUUCCCCUUUCUUUUUACUAACGUCUAGACUUCAAGUGAGUUCACUUAUGAAUGAAUUCUUCUCCCUCAUGUAUAUAUAAUUUUUAAGCUAAGCACACAGGUGACUCACCUGCUAGCUCCCUAAGUUCCAUAAGCAUGUCAAUGUUUUUUUUCCGUUUAAGGCCACAGUCUCUAAAUAGACUUCCAUAUAGUGCCCCAAUCUAACACUUGAACACUUGAAAAAUUUUGGUAGUAAUUAAAUCAAGUCGUAUGUCAUUUUAUGUGAACAUUACUAGUACAUGUAAAAUGUGGGGUGUUACAAAAAUUUAGAAAAAAAUACAUAUAAUAAUUUAUAUAACAUAAAAAACUCAUUAAGAGAAGAAGAAAGAGAGAUAAUUAAUAGCAUUAAUAACUUUAAUUCAGGUAUAAAUUAUAGUACAAUUAGAUAGAAUUUUACACGAAAAUUUGUAAACAAACAACUACUUUAGAAUAAAAUGAUAAACUAUGAGUAUUUAAAAUAUUGGAGACAAGAUAUGGAAGAAAUAAGAUUAGAAGAAAUUCUUAUGAAAGCGAAUUUAAUCUAAUAUUUUAGAACAAAAGAUAUAGAAUAUUUAGAAUACCUUAAAAAUAAUAUAGAAGAAUUACAAAGACCUUAGAAAAAGCUAAAGAAUACUACAGUAAAACAUUUAAUCAAAUACCAUUUAAUCACCCCCCAAGUUAUGAACAUAAAUAAAAUAAAAAUAUUUAGAGAAGUUAAGAAAUAUCCACGUACAAAUAAAAAUAGAUCCAUAGUUACAAUAGAUCUAUUAAAGUUAUCCGCACAAGAACUUUAUCAUGAUAGGAAAAUAUAUGUACUUAUAAAAAAAAUAGUAGAAGGAUAUUAUAGUAGAUACUAUACACCUAUGAUAGAACAGGAGCAGAAGCAAACUUAUGUAGAUACAACUGUUUAGUCAAAGGAUUUAAUAAUGAAGGAAGUUUAAUUACAUAUAAAGCUAAAAGUGUAAAAAUACAAAUAUGGAAUAAAAUAAUAACAAUAAAAGAAAUCUAACAUAAAUAAAAUAAAAAUAUUUAGAGAAGUUAUUGUAGGGGGUGCAGAUAACUUUAAUAGAUCUAUUGUAACUAUGGAUCUAUUUUAAUUUGUACGUGGAUAUUUCUUAACUUCUCUAAAUAUUUUUAUUUUAUUUAUGUUCAUAACUUGGGGGGUGAUUAAAUGGUAUUUGAUUAAAUGUUUUACUGUAGUAUUCUUUAGCUUUUUGUCUUAGUCUUUGUAAUUCUUCUAUAUUAUUUUUAAGGUAUUCUAAAUAUUCUAUAUCUUUUGUUCUAAAAUAUUCGAUUAAAUUCUCUUUCAUAAGAAUUUCUUCUAAUCUUAUUUCUUCCAUAUCUUGUCUCCAAUAUUUUAAAUACUCAUAGUUUAUCAUUUUAUUCUAAAGUAGUUGCUUGUUUACUAAUUUUCGUGUAAAAUUCUAUUCUAAUUGUACUUUACUAAUUUUCGUGUAAUAUUCUAUUCUAAUUGUACUAUAAUUUAUAUAUGAAUUAAGGUUAUUAAUGCUAUUAAUUAUCUCUCUUUCUUUUUCUCUUAAUGUGUUUUUUAUGUAAUAUAAACUAUUAUCUGUACUUUUUUCAAAUUUUUCUAAGGUUUCUUUUAACCAUAUUAAUUUUUCUUUUAGAUUUUCCAUUAUUUCUUUGAGUCGGUUUCGAUAAUUAAUUUCUUCAUAUAGGUCACUUUGAUUUUCUCUAAUUUUUUUAAUAUAUUCUAAUGUUUUAUUCUGAAUAAUAUCCAUCUGGGUAAUUAUCUAGGUAUAGUUGUUCUAUCCAAUUUAUAAUUUCAAUUUCAUAGUCUAAUAUUUUUUCUAAUACUAUUCUCUUAAUAUCUAUAAUUUUUAUAUUUCUAAUUAUAUAUAAGAUUAAUAUUUUAAGAUUAUCUGUCAUUUGAUUAGAUACUUUAUCAUAAUAUUUUUUAGUUUUUUAUUUUAAUCUCAUUAAUUCUUCUAUAUUUUUACUGAGAAAUUAUAUAUAUUUUAGAUUCAUUUUCCAAUAUUCUAAAUAUAUGUAAUUUAUUAUAGUUGAUGAGUGGGUUUGGUAUAUAAAUAUUUAUAAGAGUAGUUAGGUAGGUCUGGUAUAUAUAAUUAAUUCUAGUCAUAAAAUAUCUAUCAAAUAUUUUUUCCAAUAUGAUUUUUCUUAUAUCUACUAUUUCUAUAUCCUUAAGUACAUAUAAAAUAAGUAUUAUUAAUUUAUCUACUAUUUUGUCAGAUAAAUAAGUAUUCAUUUUUCAUAUGAUGUUUUUUCAAAAUAUUCCUUCAAUCAUAUACAUAACAAAAUAUGAUCAUUUUAGAUUACUAUAUACUAGAUUAUUCUUAAAUAACAUAUUCUUCGGUCGCUAUUAACAUGUAAUCUGGAUACUUUUCCCUUAAACAGCGCCUCUACUCUGGCUACUCCCCUAUCAUAGCUUUCUUGCCUCAUCGGUUUCACCUUAGGAUGACAUAGUUCUUAGAGAUUUUUCUCCUUUUCCACUUUGCUAAUAAACUUCUUAACAUGCUAUUUUUUUUUUAAUAAUUCUACUAUAAAGCAACUAACAUGAACUUAUUUUAUCAUAUCAUGAUUGUUAGAAAUUUAUGAAUUUAGCUAUUCAUAAUCAUAAAUAAAUAUACCUGUUCCGGUAGGUUUGAUAAUUCUAAGCUUUGUUCAUUCAUAGCUUUUUCCAUUGAAAUAUACCUGUUUGUAAUAACUGUUUAAAAGUUUGCUGUGAAAGAAGAGUGUUU
This 4780-nucleotide long non-coding RNA is filed under the name Capsicum annuum. Its description in RNAcentral is "long non-coding RNA (CANN_LNC020126)". Lineage: Eukaryota; Viridiplantae; Streptophyta; Magnoliopsida; Solanales; Solanaceae. The record is from RNAcentral.